UGUCUGGAUAUUGCUAUUCAGGUCACUGAGAGAAGAGGAAACAUACACAAAGCUGCAUGAAAAAGAUAAUUCACCUUAUGAGUGCAACAGAAGUUUCAUAACAACGUAACUCCAGCAGGACACCUCCAUAUGAAUGGCUUUCCAUAGCACCAUACUGGGCAGAUUGCCAGCAAGUUCUACCAGCUUAGCACCACAGUGACUUCUCUGUCAUCUGGUGAGCCUAUGAUCGCCAAUAAAGGUCUGGAUCUCAGCCUGGGCUCUCUUCCUUGGGUCUAUGCUGAACCUAACUGGAAACUGGGUGGCAAGAGUUGAUACAGUCCACACAGGUCGGCCUCCUGGGCAGAGAUCAGAGUAGGACAGGAUGAAGAACACAUCUGGAGGGUCAAAGAGAAGCUAUGACACAGGGUCCUUAUUAAUCAAAGUGUGAUCCAUUGACCACCAUCAUCAGCAUCUGCUGGAGCCUAUUAGGAAUGCAGAAUACCAGGCCCCAUCACAGACCAGUUACUGAAUUGGAAUCUGCAUUGUAACAAACUUCUCAGGUGGCUCUCUCUCAGGACUAUUCUGGCUUCUCAGGAUCCAUUGCCCUUGCCCAGGAGAGAGAGCCUCGCUGGGACCCAGAAACCGCGAAAGAAGAUUCGACCUACCUGUGGAACCAGACACAACUUGGUCCCCAAAGGUCGCUUAGGCGACCCCACUGCAAACGGCAAGUCAACUUGUGCACUUAAAACGUAUCAGUUUAUGGAAUGCUUGUUUAAAGUCCUCAUUGGACAUGGUAUAGAUUAUGGGGUUGAUGAGGGAGUUGAGAUAGCCCAGCCAUGUGAAGAAGUCAAAGAUGGCUAGGUGGAACCAGCAGGCAUCUUUGCAGAUAGGCAUCACUAGGGAGAUGAUGAAGAAGGGUAGCCAACACACAAUAAAGGCUCCCAAAAUGAUCCCUAGGGUCUUGGUGGCUUUGCGCUCCCUAGCGGCCAUGAGUUUCUUCUUUUCCAGCAGGGCGUCGGAGACUCGCACUUUGACUUGGUUCACAUACACAGGAGAUCCGGAUUCGCUGGGCACGUCGGGAACCCGCGAGUUAAUAGAGGCUGACGCCAGAAGAAGGGCGGCAGCGAGAUAGAGAUGGAGAAGACCCACACCAGCGCGAUCAUGACCGCCGCCCUCUUGGGAGUCCUUUUAGCUGAGUACUCCACGGCGUCCGUGAUGGCCCAGUAGCGGUCCAGGGCGAUGACACAGAGGUGCAGGAUGGAGGCAGUGCAACAAGUGAUGUCCGACGACAGCCAGAAGUCACAGACCACCUGGCCCAGUGUCCAGCGGCCGGUGACAGUGUACAUGGUGCUGAUGGGCAUCACCAGGAUGGACACAAGCAGGUCGGUGACCGCCAGAGAGGCGAUCAGGUAGUUAGCCGGGGUGUGCAGUUUCCGGGUCCGGUACACUGUGGCAAUCACAAAGGCAUUGGAGAGCGUGGUGGCCAAGGUGAUGAGCGCCAAUAGCAUAACCAGCAGUACUUUCCAGGGUAGGGAGAUGGAGUCCUGGUAAAUGUAGUCCUUGGCGCUGCAGUUUUGGGAGGGAGCAGAGGAUAAGUUGGCUUGAGGAACCCAGGUCUCGGAGCCCGCGGGCGGCGGUGGAGCGCACUGAGCACCCGGUUCCUCCAUGGCUCUCCUCGCCCCAGCUCCGGAGCGCAGCUCUUGGGCAUGGAGCGGACGAAGGAGAGGGCGGAAGGACCGUGGCGAUCGCAGGUUUGUCCCCAGUUGAUAGUUCCGUGAGUUCCUCAAUUAUUCCUCCGCCCAGGUUCACAGCUGAAACUAGAGGUCAUGGGUGCGGCAGCCAAGGCAGGCGGGCGCCUCCCCUGCACUUCCAGAGCGCCUAGCUAAGCCGCCGCGUCUGUGGUUGUUCCUCUCCACACCGGGUCUUAGACCUGGGUUGCUAAGAGCUGGCCCACCGAGCCCUGCUCCGCUCCAGCUCCCUGGAGGCGUCUAGUGCAGGAGGGUGAAGUACUGCUUGAGGAGAAGGCUUUGACCAAAUGGGAUCUCUUACCCCAGUUGCUUGAGGCUGAGCGUCUCCUAACCUGGACGCUUUUGGAUCUGCAGACUUUGCCCACAGGAGUUUCCUAGGUGUAGAGACCAAAGCUUGCAGGCCAGCGAGAGGUCCCGAGAUCUUGCAUUCCCACCCCUCGCCCCAAGCUGGGGCACUUUUGGGGGGCUGCAGCGGCCGCCAGAGCUGGGUGGGGUGAAGUCUAGGAGCAGCGCUGCGCCGCGCCUCGCGCCGGAGCUCUGCCCUCCCUCUCUUUUCACUCUCUGGCCACUCGGACGAGCUGCCCCGCGGAGACGGAGCCAUAAAAGGGGGGACACGGGGGCUGGAGUUGCGGCUGCUCGGGCCGCGCCGCCGCCACCGCCACCCUGGUCCCACGGGAGCCACUCGGAGCCAUGCCACUGGGUGCGCGGGUCUGGAGGACCUGGCGCGGCACACUGGGAAGGGGCAGGUGUCUGGGGGAGCUGGAGGGACGCGGCGUGCACCAGCCCGGGAGAAGCGUGCGAGCUACGGAGCAGAUGGGCUCUUUAUAUAGAGUCCAGGUCCGGUCCGCCAGAGCAGUGCAACUCGUGCGGCGCGGCGGGUGCGGACGCCCGCUCCCCAUCACCUUCCCUUUUUCUCUCUCCCUCCCUCUUUUCCCCCCGCCCUGUU
RNAcentral lists this long non-coding RNA (2673 nucleotides) under Homo sapiens (human). RNAcentral describes it as "long non-coding RNA NONHSAT207514.1". Lineage: Eukaryota; Metazoa; Chordata; Mammalia; Primates; Hominidae. The record is from RNAcentral.